ACGCCUACGGGGGGCAGCAGUCGGGAAUAUUGCGCAAUGGAGGAAACUCUGACGCAGUGACGCCGCGUAUAGGAAGAAGGUUUUCGGAUUGUAAACUAUUGUCGUUAGGGAAGAUACAAGACAGUACCCAAGGAGGAAGCUCCGGCUAACUACGUGCCAGCAGCCGCGGUAAUACGUAGGGAGCAAGCGUUGUCCGGAAUUACUGGGUGUAAAGGGAGCGUAGGCGGGAUAGUAAGUUGAUUGUUAAAACUAUCGGCUCAACUGAUAGAUGCGAUCAAAACUGCAAUUCUUGAGUGAAGUAGAGG
Molecule: ribosomal RNA, 305 nt
Filed under: uncultured bacterium
Lineage: Bacteria
Description: bacterial SSU rRNA
Rfam family: Bacterial small subunit ribosomal RNA
Source: RNAcentral